Molecule: ribosomal RNA, 490 nt
Filed under: uncultured bacterium
Lineage: Bacteria
Description: partial 16S ribosomal RNA
Rfam family: Bacterial small subunit ribosomal RNA
Source: RNAcentral
GAUGAACGCUAGCUACAGGCUUAACACAUGCAAGUCGAGGGGCAGCAUGGUCUUAGCUUGCUAAGGCCGAUGGCGACCGGCGCACGGGUGAGUAACACGUAUCCAACCUGCCGUCUACUCUUGGACAGCCUUCUGAAAGGAAGAUUAAUACAAGAUGGCAUCAUGAGUCCGCAUGUUCACAUGAUUAAAGGUAUUCCGGUAGACGAUGGGGAUGCGUUCCAUUAGAUAGUAGGCGGGGUAACGGCCCGCCUAGUCUUCGAUGGAUAGGGGUUCUGAGAGGAAGGUCCCCCACAUUGGAACUGAGACACGGUCCAAACUCCUACGGGAGGCAGCAGUGAGGAAUAUUGGUCAAUGGGCGCAGGCCUGAACCAGCCAAGUAGCGUGAAGGAUGACUGCCCUAUGGGUUGUAAACUUCUUUUAGAAAGGAAUAAAGUCGGGUAUGUAUACCCGUUUGCAUGUACUUUAUGAAUAAGGAUCGGCUAACUCCGUG